CAAUAGCGUAUAUUUAAGUUGUUGCAGUUAAAAAGCUCGUAGUUGGAUUUCGGAUGGGACUUGCCGGUCCGUCGUUUCGAUGUGCACUGGCCAGUCCUAUCUUGUUGUCGGGGACUAGCUCCUGGGCUUCACUGUCCGGGACUAGGAGCUGACGAGGUUACUUUGAGUAAAUUAGAGUGUUCAAAGCAAGCCUACGCUCUGAAUACAUUAGCAUGGAAUAACACGAUAGGACUCUGGCUUAUCUUGUUGGUCUGUGAGACCAGAGUAAUGAUUAAGAGGGACAGUCGGGGGCAUUCGUAUUUCAUUGUCAGAGGUGAAAUUCUUGGAUUUAUGAAAGACGAACUUCUGCGAAAGCAUUUGCCAAGGACAUUUNCAUUG
Molecule: ribosomal RNA, 378 nt
Filed under: uncultured eukaryote
Lineage: Eukaryota
Description: partial 18S ribosomal RNA
Rfam family: Eukaryotic small subunit ribosomal RNA
Source: RNAcentral